This 25-nucleotide non-coding RNA is filed under the name Cricetulus griseus (Chinese hamster). The record is from RNAcentral. Lineage: Eukaryota; Metazoa; Chordata; Mammalia; Rodentia; Cricetidae.
AAGGAAGCCAAAGAAAAGCGCCAGG